This 331-nucleotide long non-coding RNA is filed under the name Lathyrus oleraceus (garden pea). RNAcentral describes it as "Pisum sativum (pea) long non-coding RNA (PSAT_LNC002121)". Lineage: Eukaryota; Viridiplantae; Streptophyta; Magnoliopsida; Fabales; Fabaceae. The record is from RNAcentral.
GAGAUUACCAUACUUUGGAGUGAUGAUAUUUUUGUGGUAGAAGAACUUGGUGAAUCUUUGUUGUUGAGGGGGAGAAGGUAGAAGCCUGUUUAAAUAUUUUAAAGAUCUUGUCUUUGAAGUUGUUGCCUUUCAUUUUCCCUUUGAAAAAGAAGCCAUUAUAGUGGAUACAAAAAGCUUGAAUAAAGGUUUCAAACUUUGCUAGACUUGUGAAAGGGUAGCGAUUUGUUGCUCUAGGUGGGAGAAAAAAAUUGUUGAUUAUUUCUAUUGAGAGAAUAGAGGGGAGAUGAUAUGGAGAGAGAGAAAUAAAAAUUGCUUUUGAUAGAUGUUGGGG